This 545-nucleotide ribosomal RNA is filed under the name Streptomyces sp. 434A12. Its description in RNAcentral is "bacterial SSU rRNA". It matches the Rfam family "Bacterial small subunit ribosomal RNA", at positions 93 to 652 of the family's 1533-position model. The record is from RNAcentral. Lineage: Bacteria; Bacillati; Actinomycetota; Actinomycetes; Kitasatosporales; Streptomycetaceae.
UAGUGGCGAACGGGUGAGUAACACGUGGGCAAUCUGCCCUGCACUCUGGGACAAGCCCUGGAAACGGGGUCUAAUACCGGAUAUGACCAUCUUGGGCAUCCUUGAUGGUGUAAAGCUCCGGCGGUGCAGGAUGAGCCCGCGGCCUAUCAGCUUGUUGGUGAGGUAACGGCUCACCAAGGCGACGACGGGUAGCCGGCCUGAGAGGGCGACCGGCCACACUGGGACUGAGACACGGCCCAGACUCCUACGGGAGGCAGCAGUGGGGAAUAUUGCACAAUGGGCGAAAGCCUGAUGCAGCGACGCCGCGUGAGGGAUGACGGCCUUCGGGUUGUAAACCUCUUUCAGCAGGGAAGAAGCGAAAGUGACGGUACCUGCAGAAGAAGCGCCGGCUAACUACGUGCCAGCAGCCGCGGUAAUACGUAGGGCGCGAGCGUUGUCCGGAAUUAUUGGGCGUAAAGAGCUCGUAGGCGGCUUGUCACGUCGGUUGUGAAAGCCCGGGGCUUAACCCCGGGUCUGCAGUCGAUACGGGCAGGCUAGAGUUCGGU